This 600-nucleotide ribosomal RNA is filed under the name Nostoc edaphicum ISB104. Its description in RNAcentral is "bacterial SSU rRNA". It matches the Rfam family "Bacterial small subunit ribosomal RNA", at positions 36 to 677 of the family's 1533-position model. The record is from RNAcentral. Lineage: Bacteria; Bacillati; Cyanobacteriota; Cyanophyceae; Nostocales; Nostocaceae.
UUGAAGAACGGCAUGCUCACCAUGCAGUCGAACGGUGCUUUAGGGCACAGUGGCGGACGGGUGAGUAACGCGUGAGAAUCUGGCUUUAGGUCUGGGACAACCACUGGAAACGGUGGCUAAUACCGGAUGUGCCCUUCGGGGUGAAAGGUUAACUGCCUGAAGAUGAGCUCGCGUCUGAUUAGCUAGUAGGUGUGGUAAAGGCGCACCUAGGCGACGAUCAGUAGCUGGUCUGAGAGGACGAUCAGCCACACUGGGACUGAGACACGGCCCAGACUCCUACGGGAGGCAGCAGUGGGGAAUUUUCCGCAAUGGGCGAAAGCCUGACGGAGCAAUACCGCGUGAGGGAGGAAGGCUCUUGGGUCGUAAACCUCUUUUCUCAGGGAAGAACACAAUGACGGUACCUGAGGAAUAAGCAUCGGCUAACUCCGUGCCAGCAGCCGCGGUAAUACGGAGGAUGCAAGCGUUAUCCGGAAUGAUUGGGCGUAAAGCGUCCGCAGGUGGCUGUGUAAGUCUGCUGUUAAAGAGUCUAGCUCAACUAGAUAAGAGCAGUGGAAACUACACGGCUAGAGUACGUUCGGGGCAGAGGGAAUUCCUGGUGUA